CACAAUACUUUGCCAUGGGUUCUUUAUAAACUUGAGUUGGGGGGGGGUGCGGCAAAACCCACGCUACACCCGUGCUUUACUUCCGCUCCAGCAAGUUUCAAAACAAAGUCCCGCAAUUAAAGGAAAAUUACAAAAAUGUUCCUAACAAAUACAAUGAAGAACAUUAAAAUAAUUCGUUACAAUCGCUAUGAUUUUGACGACUGAAAUUAGCUGCUUAAUUUUGUUCUGCCCUGCCUACUGAGAAACCUGACACCGGGUCAUUUGCGUACUAACAGCGAUUGGAUGUUUAGCCGGGGGGAGAGUGGAUGCGCACAAACGGAGCACGGAGGAAAAGAGCAAACGAGACAUGAAACCUAUCAUGUUUGACUUAAGGGGGCAGGACGUUUGUUUCAGGGGUAACGCCCCCUCUUGCCCGCCCCUACGACACACGCCGAGAAUCCCGACACUGACGUUGAGGUCCAUCCCCUACUCAUGCUCACUGAGGUACCGCAGGGCUUUUGCCACCCGGUGGGGAACACACGGUUUUCGGUGCUUGUCAGCGGGUCUCUCAUAAAUCUGCUGCCCUGUAUAACCGGAGUAUUAGCGAUUAUUUUCCAGCAACCAUUCACGACCGGUCGGAAACUUUUUACACCAACUUUUGUAUCACUCUGAUCUAAUCAGGACCCUAAAACUACAAAUAAUGGAUGUAACAUCAACCUGCUGGACUCUGUUGGUCUCCUUUAUUUUCUCGAUCAUGUCUGCAGAUCAGGAAAACAUCACAGCUGAGUCUGGACAGAACGUCACUCUGACAUGUCGAGCUCCAAACAUCAAGAAUGAUCUUGUAGAGUGGAGCAGAGCUGACCUGGGAGAUGAAUAUGUGCUAUUUUACCGGGAUGAUCUGUCUGUUUCUGAUCACCAGCAUCAAUCAUUUAAGAACCGGGUGGAUCUGCAGGACAGACAGAUGAAGGAUGGAGAUGUGUCUUUGGUUCUCAUGAAUGUGACGAUUAAUGACACUGGAACAUACAAGUGUCGUGUUCCUUUGGACAAAACACACUCAUCGAAUCCCAUCAGCAUCAUCUUCCUGAGUGUUGUUGAUCCUCCAGGUCAGACAGGAGGACACACAGAGGAUGGAGGGAAGGAGGCUAAAGGCAAGAAGGAUGGAUCUGUUGGACUGAAAGUUGGUCUCUCAGUUGCUGUUAUUGUUGUUGCUGCUGUUGUUGUUUUUUUGAUCUACCUAAAACAAUGUAACCAGAUUCAAUAUCAGGCUCCAGUUGAACUUCAGUCUGUUUGAAAUGUUUCCGUUUUUUUUCCAGCUGAUCUGAUUCUCUGUUUCAACUUCUCAGAGGUGACACUGAGCAUUCAGAGCAGGGGCUAUUUUAGCCCAUUUUGAAUCAAAGCACCCCCAAAGAUUUCUUUCUUUCUUUCUUUUUUUUUUUUUUACAAUAUUUUGUAAUAUUUUCUGUUUGUGGGACACACUACUAAAAACAUAAAAAGCAUACAGUACUUAAUUGAGAUGGAACAUUUUAACAACAAAAGUAUAGAUAGAUAUAUAUAGUUAGGUAGCAGUCAGACCAUGUUUCUUAUAGGCUGAAAAACAUUACACCAGGUAACCUGCAGUGUUGAAAACGUGUUUCCCGACUAUGUUUGCUACAAUCCGUCCUGCUCUGUAGAAAAAUCAUUGACAUUUGACCGUCCUGUUGCUCCCAUUGAAAUGUAUAUAACCUAUUUAAAAUCUAAAACUUAACAUUGUCCGUAGCUACUGUUGUUACCACUGUCCUGUUUGAAAUGCAAUGAGAGAAACUGGUUAUUUUGUCCUAUGUGCAUGUGCCGAUAUUAUGCAUGUGCCCAUUAACCUUAUAACUCCUGGUGUGUGUGUGUGUGUGUGUGUGUGUGUGUGUGUGUGUGUGUGUGUGUGUGUGUGUGUGUGUGUGUGUGUGUGUGUGUGUGAUCCAGGUAAACGUGUAAGAUUAAUAAAGGAUAAUGUUGGUUCAGUGUUUCAAUAUUUAUAUCCUUUAUUAGAUGUACAUGUGGUUUGGUCAUUUGCCUUUUGGUUGAAAGUACACUGAGAGAGGACUUUUUUAUUAGUGAUCUUUAUAGUAUUUUGUAUUCAAUUAGAUUUAAAAAUCUAUUUGUGUAUGAUUGUCAGUCCAAAGAGGGAGAGAGGAAAGAGGAGAACCUGAGGAGAAAGUACAAGGUCAGGAAGAACCAGGUAAGAAAACAGACAGGGAACAGUGACAGGCACAACAGAAACUGUUAAACUGACAAAGAAAAAAACAAACAAACUAAUUUUACUCAUAAAAUCUGGAAGUUGUGUCCUCCCUAUAUUAAAGCUGCUAUACAGAAUCUGCAAAACAAACUGGGUUGUCAGCCCUGGCACUGCAUUACCAUAUUGAACUUCAGUCAGAGGAAGUCACAGUUGCCAAAAACUUUUUGAAGCUCAAGAGUGAGGCUGGUGCCGUUCCAGAUAUGUUAACAUUGUACAAUCUUCUGGAUAAUCAGAUCUUCCCCACACUGAAAGCUGUUGUUCAGGUUGCCCUAACAAACCCAGUUAGCAGCUGUAGCUGUGAAAGGUCUUUUAGUGUCUUGAGUCAGCUCUAUACCUGGCUGAGAAGGACCAUGGGUCAAAGCAGACUCCAGCACCUGGCUGUGAUGUCAGUUGAGAAAGAGAUGCUUGAGAGACUUGACCACCAAAAUGUGAUAGACAGAUUUGCCAACCUCAAGGUGAGGCGACAUAGGUUAAAAGAAAGAAAAAUCUGCAGAGCCACAGUAGUAUCUGCAGUAAAGAUCUUUUCAUACAUUGUAUACAUUGUACCAGAGGCCAAGGUGUCUCCAUUUUUCUAAUUUUUUAAUAAUAUUUUGUACAUUUCAAGGACUCGUCUAUUUUUGGAGUGUAUUUUCUAUGUAUCUGUAUUAUAUUAUACAUACACAUUAAAAGUGAAUCUCUGUGCAAAAAAUGCGCUCAGUUUACUUCUUACUCACCAUGAGCAUCAUUCAUUAUUCUCCCCAGUAAUUAAGGUUAGGAUAUGUAUUUUUAAAAAAAAUUCCAAUCCAUUCUUCUUUUGCAGCAUUUAAAUAACCUUUAUCAGAUUUGAUGGUUUUGUUACAGACUUUAAAAAAGUGUUUUGCUUUUCUUUCACAAAUGUGGGGAUUAAAUUGUGUUAAAAUGUACAAAACAGUGAUGUCAUGUUUUGUGACGAGGAACAGGCACAGAGAGACUUGAUGAAUUUAAGAAUCUUA
This is a long non-coding RNA of Oreochromis niloticus (Nile tilapia), 3216 nucleotides long. The record is from Ensembl. Lineage: Eukaryota; Metazoa; Chordata; Actinopteri; Cichliformes; Cichlidae.